CCAGACUCCUACGGGAGGCAGCAGUGGGGAAUAUUGCACAAUGGGGGAAACCCUGAUGCAGCGACGCCGCGUGAGUGAAGAAGUAUUUCGGUAUGUAAAGCUCUAUCAGCAGGAACGAGACAAGACGGUACCUGACUAAGAAGCCCCGGCUAACUACGUGCCAGCAGCCGCGGUAAUACGUAGGGGGCAAGCGUUAUCCGGAAUCACUGGGUGUAAAGGGAGCGUAGACGGCUGUGCAAGCCUGAUGUGAAAGCCCGCGGCCCAACCGCGAGACUGCAUUGGGAACUACCGGGCUGGAGUGCCGGAGAGGUAGGCGGAAUUCCUAGUGUAGCGGUGAAAUGCGUAGAUAUUAGGAGGAACACCAGUGGCGAAGGCGGCCUACUGGACGGUGACUGACGCUGAGGCUCGAAAGCGUGGGGAGCAAACAGGAUUAGAUACCCUAGUAU
RNAcentral lists this ribosomal RNA (446 nucleotides) under uncultured bacterium. RNAcentral describes it as "bacterial SSU rRNA". It matches the Rfam family "Bacterial small subunit ribosomal RNA", at positions 331 to 793 of the family's 1533-position model. The record is from RNAcentral.